Molecule: ribosomal RNA, 762 nt
Filed under: uncultured bacterium
Lineage: Bacteria
Description: bacterial SSU rRNA
Rfam family: Bacterial small subunit ribosomal RNA
Source: RNAcentral
CUUAUGCAUGCAGUUGAGCGAAGCUUUUUGGUAGUUUACUACUAGAAAUGACUGAGCGGCGAACGGGUGAGUAACGCGUGAGCAAUCUACCUUAGUUACUGGGAUAGCCCGAGGAAACUCGGAUUAAUACCGGAUAUUCUUAUUUUUUCACAUGAAGUUUUAAGGAAAGGUCAGCCGAACUAAGAUGAGCUCGCGUUCUAUCAGCUAGUUGGUGGGGUAAAAGCCUACCAAGGCUACGACGGAUAGCUGGUCUGAGAGGACGAUCAGCCACACUGGGACUGAGACACGGCCCAGACUCCUACGGGAGGCUGCAGCAGGGAAUAUUGUGCAAUGAGCGAAAGCUUGACACAGCGACACCGCGUGUGGGAUGACGGUUCUAGGAUUGUAAACCACUUUCAGGAGGGAAGAAAAUGACGGUACCUCCACAAGAAGACCCGGCCAACUAUGUGCCAGCAGCCGCGGUAAUACAUAGGGGUCAAGCGUUGUCCGGAUUUAUUGGGCGUAAAGAGCUCGUAGGCGGUUCAACAAGUCGGUCGUAAAAGUUUAGGGCUCAACCCUAAAAUGUCGAUCGAUACUGUUGUGACUAGGAUACGGUAGAGGUGAAUGGAAUUCCGAGUGUAGCGGUGAAAUGCGUAGAUAUUCGGAGGAACACCAAUUGCGAAGGCAGUUCACUGGACCGUGAUCGACGCUGAGGAGCGAAAGCUAGGGGAGCAAACAGGAUUAGAUACCCUGGUAGUCCACGCCGUAAACGAUGGAUACUAG